Molecule: long non-coding RNA, 420 nt
Organism: Globicephala melas (long-finned pilot whale)
Lineage: Eukaryota; Metazoa; Chordata; Mammalia; Artiodactyla; Delphinidae
Source: RefSeq, a predicted model, not a curated record
CUUUUGAUUAGAUUCCAGUUUUCAGUACCUGCAUAGCCUGGGAUGUAAUUACAAUGACAAACCCAGGAGAAGAUGAACACACCAAAAGGUCAAGUUCUUUGGAAGCAGACCCUGAAAUGAAGAUUUCUAUGCAACUUAUUUACUAAGGAAGUGCUCCCAGGAGAGACUGCUGCCAUGUCAUGAAGACACUCAAGUAGCCUAUGGAGAAGCCCACGUGGCAUGCGACUGAAGCCUCCUGCCAACAGCUAGGGAGCAACUGAGACCCCCUGCCCUCUGCCGUGGGAGAGAGCCACCAUGGAAGUGGGUCCUCCAGCCCUGGGCCAGCCUUCAGAUGACUGCAGCCCAAAAUGACACCUUAAUUACAGCUUUGUGAGAAACCCUGAGCCAGAACCACCUGACUAAGAUGCUCCCAGAUUCCUG